GUCCUUGUAGUUCAAUGGAUAGAACACUAGCCUUCUAAGCUGGAUAUCCAGGUUCGAUUCCUGGCGAGGACA
RNAcentral lists this transfer RNA (72 nucleotides) under Candidatus Magasanikiibacteriota bacterium. RNAcentral describes it as "tRNA-Arg". It matches the Rfam family "tRNA". Rfam says of the family: Transfer RNA (tRNA) molecules are approximately 80 nucleotides in length. Their secondary structure includes four short double-helical elements and three loops (D, anti-codon, and T loops). Lineage: Bacteria; Candidatus Magasanikiibacteriota. The record is from RNAcentral.